GACGAACGCUGGCGGCGUGCUUAACACGUGCAAGUCGUACGGUAAGGCCCUUUCGGGGGUACACGAGUGGCGAACGGGUGAGUAACACGUGAGUAACCUUCCCACAACUAUGGGAUAACGCUAGGAAACUGGUGCCAAUACUGGAUAUGUGCUCCUGCUGCAUGGUGGGGGUUGGAAAGCUCCGGCGGUUGUGGAUGGACUCGCGGCCUAUCUGCUUGUUGGUGGGGUAGUGGCCUACCAAGGCGGCGACGGGUAGCCGGCCUGAGAGGGUGACCGGCCACAUUGGGACUGAGAUACGGCCCAGACUCCUACGGGAGGCAGCAGUGGGGAAUAUUGCACAAUGGGCGCAAGCCUGAUGCAGCAACGCCGCGUGCGGGAUGACGGCCUUCGGGUUGUAAACCGCUUUCAGCAGGGACGAAGCUUUUUGUGACGGUACCUGCAGAAGAAGCACCGGCUAACUACGUG
RNAcentral lists this ribosomal RNA (465 nucleotides) under uncultured bacterium. RNAcentral's name for it is "partial 16S ribosomal RNA". It matches the Rfam family "Bacterial small subunit ribosomal RNA", at positions 28 to 507 of the family's 1533-position model. The record is from RNAcentral.